Molecule: long non-coding RNA, 2603 nt
Filed under: Zea mays
Lineage: Eukaryota; Viridiplantae; Streptophyta; Magnoliopsida; Poales; Poaceae
Description: long non-coding RNA (ZMAY_LNC005331)
Source: RNAcentral
GGGCACGAAAUCAAAUGUGUGCUAGGAUCAAGUCUCACACAUAUGAGACUCAUGGUACAGAAAAUAAUGUCACAUCAUUAAUAUAUAACAGAGUUCUGUACAAAAUACAUAAAUAAUUACAUCAUACGAAGACAACGUUCCAGCAACCAUAGUUGACUGGGAGGCGACGACCUAGACCGCUCACGAACCCAUCACAACAUCCUUCAUGCGCCUCAUCCUGUGGUACCUGUCCUUGACCUGGGGGGAUGUGAGUACAACAAGAGUGAGCUCACAUACGUUCAUCGCUCAACAAGUUGUGGGGGAUGAUGUGCAUGAGCUCACUUAUAGUGGGGCUCAUGUGAAGUGUAAGGCUUACCAAAGGAGAUGGUUAAAGCUAAGCAUUGCUUUUAAAGUUGGUCAAAAUUUUAUUAGCACUUACUAAGUAUAAGUGAAUACCAACCUAAUUAAAUAAGCGAUCACAAUUGAUAAUAACACCCACAAUGCAAUGCAAAUGACAAAUUAAGUUUAAUUCCAUAAUUUAAUCAUGUGAGUGUCUGAGCCGCUCAUGAUCGUGAGCAAGGCUGAUAUACUAGUUUUACACUCCACAGAGGUUACGCAUCUUUACCCAUAAGUCAUGUUACCCAUUUGCCAUGGGGUUGUACGAACCCCAUACACCUUUACCAAGGAAGCGAAGCAGGGUAGCACUACGAGGCCUUUCCAAAGUUCCACUAGUUCGAGAAUACCCGCUACUGUUUUAGGAAGAAGGAAGCAUAGGAAUCCCUCGUCUGAACUGCCAUCGCAGCAGUUCGACCCGAGAACCUCCCUAUACUCUGCAGCGACGCCUCCCGGCUUGCCCCUUUCGGGUAAGGUAAUCUCUCCCUAGCUUCCCUAAUUACUUGGCCAAGGGCGUCCAAUUCCACCCUUGUGGUACAACUGUUUUCCUGGGUGGUUCUCCAUGUUCCAAUUAAGAUGAUGAUCUUAUCAUGAACAAUAAUUAAAACAACAACAUAAUUGGAACAUGAUCAUAAUAUAACAUUAAUUUCCCAAAACCAGGUAGAGCAAUACCAAGGGCAUGUUUGGUUCACUACCUCAGUUGCCACAAUUUGCCUAACUUUUCUACCUAAGGUUAGUUAUUCAAUUCGAACGACUAACCUUAGGCAAAGUGUGGCACAUUUAGCCACAAACCAAACAUGCCCCAAAUCUACCCAAUAGUUCAUCUGUUUGCAAGGUGGGGGAUAAACAAUGCUAGGGAACCUAUUAGGUCCCAUCAAAUUAACCUGAGCAUGUUACAGUGAUUAACAUGAACAUUAUUAGGUAAAGAAGAGUGAUCAACGACACAACUUGCCUUAGACUCGAGAUUCCCAGGUACCAACUUGGUCUUCAAGUGACUCGUAACCUCGCUGCUACUCGUAGCAAUACAAACAAACAAUGUAUAGGCAAAAUUAACAUCACACCAAACAUAAGAACAAACUGCAUAAUAAUGUUCUACGUAUCGUAACGAGAUCCUAGGUUUGAGAACCACUAAAUUUGGAGUUACGGUUAUAAAGGUAUGACUUUCCUAAUAUUUAAGUGCCCACUAUAAAAUAAAUGAGGUACAGGAUUUUUAACCAUAGGUUUCAUAGUAAUACAAGGUUAGUAGAUGAUAACAAUAUUAAUGUGAGAUUAAUGCAACUGGAAUGGAUCAAAAAGGAGUUAAAAUGAAUCACUUAUGAAUUAAAUAAUUUUCUGGAAUUAUUUUUAUACUAAAAACCAUUUUCUAUAUAAAUAUACUCAUUUUAUUUAACCUUUGGGCUGCGGCCACCAUUUCAGAAGAGUUCAGGGGUCGUUUCAUAAGAAACUAGUGCCAUAUGGUAAAUACUUUACACUCAGAGUGGACGACGGGUUGAUAACUAAAUAAGACAGGGACUCUUUUGCAUUUUGGCGCGGUCAAAGGGGUACGAGGGGUUUUCUGGCCGUUAGAUCGACUGCCCGCGGCAUAGAUUAGAUCGGCCCAUUUAUCAACCGGAAUUCGCUCGCAGACGUAGGAUACUGAGAUCAUCCCUCAACCACCGGAUCAAAAUCGGACGCACCAGAGCGAUCUGGACGAAACGGACGAAACCACAUACCCCGAGAUCUACGGUUCACAUGUCACCACCCUUUGGUUAAAUCUCGACGGCACAUCCACUGAUCAAAGGUGCAGAUCUCAUGGAUCAAACCAUUUACUAGAGAUCUGAUCCUAGCCUUUGACCAGGGGAUCAACGGUCCAGAGAGACCCUCCAGCUCCCGACGCCGGCGGCGAGAGCCCACCAAUUCCCCCCACGGCGGCGCCAUUACAGCACAUGGUCCAAUGCCGCCCUAGCGCUCCACCUCCACCGAAAACCUUAAAUACUUAAUGUGGAAGGUAAAGCGGAUUGGGUCUUGUGGUUAUACCUGAGUGAGGCGGCGACUGAUCCGGUUCACGGUGCUACCCUUCGCCACCAGCGAGCACGCGAGGUCCCUCUACAGUGAUGGUCACGAGGAGAAGCAAGGAGUAGGGAGGGAAGGAUCUGGGGUCGUGGUUUCCUAAAUAGGCGUGGAUUAGGCCUGGGCGCAAUAACAGUCCGUGCGGCAUUGGCGCGACCCCACCAUGCACGGUGCGUUCGUUG